AGGAUAAACGCUGGCGGCGUGCCUAACACAUGCAAGUCGAACGUCCUACGCAAGUAGGGAGUGGCGGACGGGUGAGUAACACGUGGGCAAUCUACCUUUCGGUGAGGAAUACCGGCGAGAAAUCGCCGACAAUACCGCAUACGCUUCGCAAGAAGCAAAGUCGCAAGACGCCGGAGGAGGAGCCUGCGCCCGAUUAGCUGGUUGGUGAGGUAAGAGCUCACCAAGGCGACGAUCGGUAGCUGGUCUGAGAGGAUGAUCAGCCACACUGGGAUUGAGAACGGCCCAGACUCCUACGGGGGGCAGCAGUGAGGAAUUUUCCGCAAUGGGCGAAAGCCUGACGGAGCGACGCCGCGUGUGGGAAGAAGGCCUUCGGGUCGUAAACCACUGUCGAAGGGGACGAUAAUGACGGUACCCUUGGAGGAAGCCCCGGCUAACUACGUGCCAGCAGCCGC
Molecule: ribosomal RNA, 452 nt
Filed under: uncultured bacterium
Lineage: Bacteria
Description: SSU rRNA
Rfam family: Bacterial small subunit ribosomal RNA
Source: RNAcentral